AUUUAGCAAACUAAAGCCAUAGACAUGCCACGAUCUACUGGUAGGUCAUAGCUACGGCGAAUAUACUGUCCAUUUUACUACCUAAACUUACCGUACUUCAACUUAAGUUGUUCAAAAGGCUUUACAAAUUGCCUUAAUCAUGUACAGAGCGGUUUUUCGCGCCGGUAGAAGCGUUCGAACAAGCAACGCUAGAAGUUCGAUUGUAAGAAUUGUGCAAUCGAGCCAACACAGCAGACCUCUGAAGAUUUCUUAUGUGCCAAGUUUUGUUUCCGCGAGAUGUUGCUCUUCUGUCCCGGGAUCGUUUCAAAUGAAGCAGUUAGCACCUCCUUCAGAUGCUUUCACGGCAAGACAUAUUGGGCCAAGCGAGGGAGAACAGAAAGAUAUGCUCAAGUUUAUGGGAUUAGAGGAUACGGAAUGGGGACAUAAACAUGAACAUCGAGGAGGAGUUCGUAGCGCCUGGCACCCUACUUGGCGUGAGGGCUGAAGCCUUUGAGAAAUUAAAUUUCAGUUCUGGAAGAGUUAUGUUUACGUUUGGAAUUAUUACUUAUGACUUCAUUAGUAACUAACGUUUUUUUUGAAAAUUAAUAACUUGUCGCAUAUGUGUUAUAGUGUUAUAAAAAUAAAUAUCAAAAUUUUAAA
This is a long non-coding RNA of Nematostella vectensis (starlet sea anemone), 639 nucleotides long. RefSeq lists it as uncharacterized. The transcript has 2 exons. Lineage: Eukaryota; Metazoa; Cnidaria; Anthozoa; Actiniaria; Edwardsiidae. The record is from RefSeq and is a predicted model, not a curated record.